GGGAAGGUGGCUCAGUGGUUAAGAGCACUGGCUGCUCUUCCAGAAGACCUGGGUUCAAUUCCCAGAACCCA
This 71-nucleotide transfer RNA is filed under the name Mesocricetus auratus (golden hamster). It matches the Rfam family "tRNA". Rfam says of the family: Transfer RNA (tRNA) molecules are approximately 80 nucleotides in length. Their secondary structure includes four short double-helical elements and three loops (D, anti-codon, and T loops). The record is from Rfam by way of RNAcentral. Lineage: Eukaryota; Metazoa; Chordata; Mammalia; Rodentia; Cricetidae.